Molecule: non-coding RNA, 828 nt
Organism: Camelina sativa (false flax)
Lineage: Eukaryota; Viridiplantae; Streptophyta; Magnoliopsida; Brassicales; Brassicaceae
Source: RefSeq, a predicted model, not a curated record
UACCUCUGUGUCCUUGGUUUCCGAGGAGACAGGCCCUUAAACCUGGAUGAUGACAUAUAGCCGUGCGACCUGAGUGUGAUUGACGGCUGUGUCUCCUUCGGGAUUCUCGGUGCUGUAGACGAUUCGCCACCCGAUUAGGGCUUCCUCUCCGGGGUGGUCAGAUGGUUGUCUGAUGCCAGCCGGUGUGCGACUUCAGUGUGAUUGACGGCUGUGUCUCCUUCGGGAUUCUCUGCGCUGUAGACGAUUCGCCACCCGGUUAGGUCUUCCUUUCCAGGAUUGGUCGCACCCGGUUAGGUCUUCCUUCGCAGGGUUUGUCGCACGGUUGUCUGACAGGGUUGGUUAAGACUUCUCAGAACAUUCAUGCGUCUGAUUCUCGUCAAAGGCAUCAGUUUGGUAUAGCAAUGGUUUUGUAUGGACGAUUUGCUUACUUGAAUGGAGAGAGUUAUGAGACUCAAGUUUGUAAGCUUUACACUAUGAAGACCUACCUUGACAAGGACCGAAACUGUCAAAUGAAUCAUGAAUGUAAUGAGCUAAUUCAUUCAGUGAAGCUAGCUUGGUUGGCACCACUAGUGGUUGGUAUUUGGUAAAGGAGCUUUCGGGGUACAAUUUACGAAUCUCUUUGUGCAGAGAAGUCUCUAGGAGACAUAGUGACACUGUCUAUAUAAAUUGAGUCGCUAGGCUCCUCUGGAUUUGUUCUUAUAUUUCCCAGUCACGUUUUACCCUUUGGGAUAGUUAUGAUGUUAGCAGUGCCGGCUUAACUAGGUGGGCGGAUAGUGCGACCGCUCCGGGUACAUAAAUUAAAAGGGCAUAUACGUAUAAGAAAAGGGG